CAGCAGCCGCGGGAAAACGAAGGGGGCUAGCGUUGCUCGGAAUGACUGGGCGUAAAGGGCGCGUAGGCGGCGGCCAAAGUCAGGCGUGAAAUUCCCGGGCCCAACCUGGGGGCUGCGUUUGAUACUUGGUUGCUUGAGUGGGGAAGAGGGUCGUGGAAUUCCCAGUGUAGAGGUGAAAUUCGUAGAUAUUGGGAAGAACACCGGUGGCGAAGGCGGCGACCUGGUCCUUUACUGACGCUGAGGCGCGAAAGCGUGGGGAGCAAACAGGAUUAGAUACCCCAGUAGUCCCUGUCUCUUAUAC
RNAcentral lists this ribosomal RNA (301 nucleotides) under uncultured bacterium. Its description in RNAcentral is "partial 16S ribosomal RNA". It matches the Rfam family "Bacterial small subunit ribosomal RNA", at positions 509 to 807 of the family's 1533-position model. The record is from RNAcentral.